Macadamia integrifolia is the source of this 275-nucleotide long non-coding RNA. RefSeq lists it as uncharacterized. The record is from RefSeq and is a predicted model, not a curated record. NCBI's taxonomy places the organism in Eukaryota, Viridiplantae, Streptophyta, Magnoliopsida, Proteales, Proteaceae. The transcript has 2 exons.
AAGGCCGCCUUCUCCUCAGCUUCAAGCAUCUGAAAAAAUUCUUAAUGUUUUUACUUUCAUGUCUGUUGAGUGUUUGUAAGAAUUUUCUUUUGUGUUAAAGAGUCCUCUUGUGAGUGUUAGUGUUCGUAAAAUUUUUUAGUUCGUGAGUGUUUGGCUAUUUCUACUACAAGUACUGUGUUCUAAGAUUAUCACGAUGAGAUGGAUGGCAUAAAAAAAUUAAUUGCUUUUGCAAUUAUAGAUCAAGAUGCGAAAGGAGAAUUGAGAUGGCCAUUGGG